AAAUAAAUAUCUAAAUUUUAAAUAUAUCAUUUACAAUGAUAAAAUGUUUGUUUUAACUUUAUUUA
This 65-nucleotide transfer RNA is filed under the name Pseudoregma bambucicola. Its description in RNAcentral is "tRNA-Val". The record is from RNAcentral. Lineage: Eukaryota; Metazoa; Arthropoda; Insecta; Hemiptera; Hormaphididae.